This 3568-nucleotide long non-coding RNA is filed under the name Sus scrofa (pig). RNAcentral describes it as "lncRNA (ENSSSCG00025036326.1)". Lineage: Eukaryota; Metazoa; Chordata; Mammalia; Artiodactyla; Suidae. The record is from RNAcentral.
UAAGGAAAAUGAAAAGAUGAGCCACAGUCUAGGAGAAAACAUUUGCAAAUGCAUAUCUGAUAAAAAUAUGCAAUGAACUCUAAAAAUUCAGCAGUAAGAAACAAACAACCCAGUUGAAAAAGGGGCAAAAGAUAUAAAUGGAUUGUGAUGAUCAUUAUACAACUAGAGAUGUGAUAAAUUCAUUGAAUUAAAAAAAAAAAGUAUAAAUGGACACCUCACCAAAAAAGACAUACAGUCGGCAAAUAAGCAUUUGAAAAGAUGCUCAAUAUCCCACAGCAUUAGGUAAUUGCAAAUUAAAUAAUGAGAUACCCCUAUACACUUACUUAAAUGGCUAAAAUCCCCAAACUGGACAAUACCUGGUGACACCAGGGAGCAGCAGGGACUCUCUUACAUUGCUGACAGGAAUGCAAAAUGCUACAGUCACUUUGGAAGAUGGUUCGGCAGGUUCUUACAAAGCUAAACAGUCUUAUCAUAUAAUCCAGCAAUCACUCUCCUUGGUAUUUACACACUAUAGUUGAAAACGUGUCCAUACAAAAGUUUGCAGAAGAAUGUUUAUAACAGAUUCAUCCGUAAUUACCCCAAACUGAAAACAACCAAGCUGUUCUCAAAUAAGUGAAUGGAUAAACAGCAGGUACGGACAUACCAUGGAGUGUUAUUCAGCAAUGAAACGCAAAGAGCAAUCCACACAAAAAGACGUGGAGGAAACUUAAAUGCACGUUGCUGAGUCAAAGAAGCCAAGGUGCAAGGUUAUAUACUGUGUGAUUCCAACUACAUGACAUUCUGGAAAAGGCGAAACUGUAGAGACGGUAAAGAGAUAGUGCUUGCCAGGGGUUUGGGGGGAGGCACGAGGAGUGAACAGGUGCCUCACAUGGAUUUUUACAAAACAGUUCUGCAUGACACAAUAAUGGUGGGUAGGUGACAUUAGCCAUGUGUCAAAAAACCUGUAGCAUGUACAUUGGCAAGAGUAAACCUUGGAAUUCCUGUUGUGGCUCAGCGGGAACGAAUCUGACUAACAUCCACGAGGACGCAGGUUCGAUCCCUGGCCUUGCUCAGUGGGUUAAGGAUCCAGCGUUGCUGUGAGCGGUGGCGUAGGUUGCAGACAUGGCUCAGAUCUGGCUGUGAUGUAGGCCAAUGGUUAAAGCUCUGAUUCAACCCCCAGCCUGGGAACCUCCGUAUGCCUCGGGUGCAGCCCUAAAAAGACAAAAUAAAUAAAUAAAUAAACCUUGAUGCAAAUUACAGAGCUUAGUUAAUAAUCAUGUAUUAAUAUUGGUUCAUUAAUUGCAAUUAUUAGUUAUAAUUACUUAUCCCACUAAUGCAAGAUGUUAAAAAAAUAAGGGGAAACUGUAUGGAGAAGGAGAGUGUGUGGGAACUAUGUUACCUACUCAAUUGCUCUAGAAAUUUAAUACUCUUCUUAAAAGAUAACUAUUUUUAUUUUAUUUUAUUAUUUUUUUUUGUCUUUUUGCCAUUUCUUGGGCCGCUCCUGUGGCAUAUGGAGGUUCCCAGGCUAGGGCGGCCCUAGAAAAGGCAAAAAGACAAAAAAAAAAAAAAAAAAAAAAAAAAAAAAAUGAUGCCCUGAGGGCCCCCUUUAAGGAUCCUAUAGCUGCUGAAAAUGUUCUGCUGUGGUGGGAGACUCCUUCACCGGAGUGCUGUUAUGCCUCUUGAUUUCAAGAAGAGUUUUAGGAGUUCCCCAGUGGCUCAGCAGGUUCAGGACCUGGCAUCGUCACCGCUGUGGCUCUGGUUGCUUCUGUAGCAUGGGUUCAAUCUCUAGCCAGGAAACUUCUGCAUACCUCGGGCAUGGCAGAAAAAAAAACCAGAGAAGAAGAGAGAGCUUUUAGAAAGCCCCCUGAAAGCCUGCCCCCCGCCCCAAUGCCUGUCCAAGGAGUCAGCACAGCCUUUGCCUUCUGGGGGUGUAACACUGGUCUUUCCUAAAUGCUGGCUUUGCUGAGGUCUCAACAUGCUCUGUCCAGGCCCGUGCAAAUGGGGAUAUUUAUUGGCGAUGGGAUGGCUCUUGCUAAGGAGGGCCAGGCAGGACCUAGACACUGGACGUUCAUUCAUUCAUUCAUUCAUUCCACAAAUACAGAGCAGGUACUGAAAUGGACUUGGGACUAUGGCUAAAUGGGUACUGGCCACACAGCAAUGAACAGCACACAGCUCUGGCCCCAUGGAGUUUCAGCUGGAGAAUAAAGUGGACAUCUAAACGCCAGCACAUGAGGUGCUUGCUGGCAAUGAACAUGCAGAGGGCCGUGGGGGUGGGAGGAGGGCAGAUGUUUUGGAGGGACUCUCUGUGGCAGGUGGUGGGCAGCACCUGUGCCAGGAGCAGGCAGAGAGCAUGUCCAGGGGAGCGGUGACAGGUGGCGCGAGGAGGCCCAGACGGAAAGGUGGCAUACAGAGGGUCUGCAGGGGAAGGACCGGAGGUGCCCUGGACAGAAUGGAGAACAGCUUGGGGAGCCAGGCGGCUGGGCCUGGGGGUGGACAGGCAGGGGGACAGUUGGCAUCCAAGAGCCUUGACAGCUGGUGACAGAGCCUCUCAUCCUCCAGGGAGAGCAGGAGGGGGCCCUCGGCAGCAGGGCUGAGGGAACCACGAUAGAGCUUGGUCACUGGGGUACACGGCAGGAGGACAUCGUAGGCCGAGCCAGAGCCCAGUUUCCAAGGACAAGGGCAGUGCAGGGCUGACGGGCGCAGGGCUGAUUUAAUGCUAAGCCUGGAGUUCCUAAAGCCGACGCCGACAGAGCCUGAGCUGGUCACAGAGCCUGGGCCGGCCUGCGUCUGCAGACGGAGCUCCAGAUGAUGAAGCUCUGGUUCCCAGCCACAGAUUAAAGGCCCCGGGGGAGUUGGAGGAAGAAUGCCAUGGCCUGGCAGAUCCUCACUGCACUGCUCUGAGUCAGGGCCUGGCACUGUUACCCUUCUGUGAAAUACUCUCAAAUUGACAGAAAAGAUGCCGUAACAAUACAACAGUCCCCCUUUUCAGCAGGGGAUGCGUUCCAAGGCCCCUGGUGGAUGCCUGAACUCGAGGAGGGCAUGGAGCCCCACACAGCGUAUAUGCCACUUCUUCCCAUGCAGACAUGCCCAGGAUAAAGUUUCCUUUACAAAGUGGGCACAGUAAGAGAUUAACAACAGCUAAUAAUCGGAUAGCACAGUUAUAAAGAUAUACUGUAAUAGAAUUAUGGACAAGUGUGCGCACUCUGUCUCUCUCAAAAUAUCUUAUUGUUCAAAUUUAAGGCCUUUCCAUCUUAACCAAGCACUUACCAGGCACUGUGGCUGUAACUUUUGCAGUUUGAGGUACAGCAGCAAAACUAGCAUCUGUUGCCUUUUCUUCCUCACAAUUUCGCAAAUAGAAGAUUCAUUUUUAUCAUAGAUUUUAGCAGCCUCGCAAUAUGAUUUUUUUUCUUCAUUAAGUCCAGAACUUGCACUUUUCUGCUUAAAGGAUGCACUUAAUAGUUUGGCUUGGGUGUGUCUGAAUCACCAGCAUCACUCCUCUUGUGCUUGGGGGCUAUUACGAAGUAAAAUAAAGGUGCCUCGAACCCAAGCACUGAGAUUGUGCAGCAGUCAAUCUGAUAACUCAGCGACU